CCUACGGGAGGCAGCAGUGGGGAAUAUUGCACAAUGGGGGAAACCCUGAUGCCGCGCCGCCGCGUGAGUGAAGAAGUAUUUCGGUACGUAAAGCUCUAUCAGCAGGGAAGAAAAUGACGGUACCUGACUAAGAAGCCCCGGCUAACUACGUGCCAGCAGCCGCGGUAAUACGUAGGGGGCAAGCGUUAUCCGGCUUUACUGGGUGUAAAGGGAGCGUAGACGGCAGCGCAAGUCUGGAGUGAAAUCCCAUGGCUUAACCAUGGAACUGCUUUGGAAACUGUGCAGCUAGAGUGCAGGAGAGGUAAGCGGAAUUCCUAGUGUAGCGGUGAAAUGCGUAGAUAUUAGGAGGAACACCAGUGGCGAAGGCGGCUUACUGGACUGUAACUGACGUUGAGGCUCGAAAGCGUGGGGAGCAAACAGGAUUAGAUACCCUGGUAGUC
Molecule: ribosomal RNA, 440 nt
Filed under: uncultured bacterium
Lineage: Bacteria
Description: partial 16S ribosomal RNA
Rfam family: Bacterial small subunit ribosomal RNA
Source: RNAcentral